GAUGAACGCUCGCUACAGGCUUAACACAUGCAAGUCGAGGGGAAACGCCAUCGAAAGCUUGCUUUUGAUGGGCGUCGACCGGCGCACGGGUGAGUAACGCGUAUCCAACCUGCCCACCACUUGGGGAUAACCUUGCGAAAGUAAGACUAAUACCCAAUGACGUCUCUAGAAGACAUCUGAAAGAGAUUAAAGAUUUAUCGGUGAUGGAUGGGGAUGCGUCUGAUUAGCUUGUUGGCGGGGUAACGGCCCACCAAGGCGACGAUCAGUAGGGGUUCUGAGAGGAAGGUCCCCCACAUUGGAACUGAGACACGGUCCAAACUCCUACGGGAGGCAGCAGUGAGGAAUAUUGGUCAAUGGACGAGAGUCUGAACCAGCCAAGUAGCGUGCAGGAUGACGGCCCUAUGGGUUGUAAACUGCUUUUAUAAGGGAAUAAAGUGAGUCUCGGGAGACUUUUUGCAUGUACCUUAUGAAUAAGGACCGGCUAAUUCCGUG
Molecule: ribosomal RNA, 492 nt
Filed under: uncultured bacterium
Lineage: Bacteria
Description: partial 16S ribosomal RNA
Rfam family: Bacterial small subunit ribosomal RNA
Source: RNAcentral